UUGUGAGGACUUAUGACUGCGACAUUCUUCUGAUCCUGUGGCUAUAUCACUGUAUUCGCUGCUGGACGAAGCGGAGUGGUGAAGUUGCCAGGAAGCGCAAAAAAAAAGUCUCUACAUGAACCCUUCCCGUCAUGGCUGGGGCAUCCACCGUGGCCGAAGACAUCCCGGGCGUACCAUGGGGUCAUUGUGACGAGCACGAGUGCGACGAGUUCCGGCUCACUGUGGAGCUUAUGAGCCACGAACGAGUGCCGCUUGGGUGGUGCAUAUUAUGAGGACAUUCACCAGUAGCGCAUGGAUCAUUUACAGGCACAAGAGCUUGGCAACAGGUCUCCAGGCCCAUGCAUUUUGAAAGAGAAUGACAACUUCAAAAGUGCCUGCAAGGAAGACAUCCUGGCUUUACCAGCUGCAUCAUCACCUGAGAAGCAGUCAGCCUCCUGUUGACUGUAUAUUUUAUUUUAAGCUUGUCGUACCCGUACGCUUUUUGGACAGUUUUUGGGACUUGUGCAGACAGUUGUUGUGAAGGGUGAGCCAUUUGACAGUGGCUUGAUGUCGUUUAAAGUAGUCUCUGUUGAAAAACCUGAAGCAGUCAGACCUAAUAUUCACAUGCUAAAUAUUUGGUAGGUAGAAGCGACAUGUCAGCUGCAAAACUGUGAAGUUGUGCCUUCUUUUACGAUUUUUUAUCACCAGGGCAAAGCGCCGGCUGUACGUUUCAAGGCUGGCUUCUUUUUUUUUUUAAAGGAUAUUUCGCUUGUAUUUUUCAAGGCUGUGUUGUUUAGUUAUUUCAAAUUUUUUCACUUGUUUUCCAGAAUGUCUUACCAUUGUAUUUCGCUGCUGCCUUGUUGAAUCUUUAAAAUGUGUAACAUGCUUCCAGCUAUUUCGUGCAUAAAAUUUUAUAAACAUUUCCACUAACUUUUAUGGUAAUAUUUGGGAUGAGUUAUCCCAAACUACAUAAUGCUGGCGCAAGUAAUCUGCCUCAAGUGGAAGGCUUUUUCAGGGUGCUUAUAAAGUAUUUUGGUCACAAUUAGCUUUGUAUUAUAGGUACAUCUGUGGUCAGCCAACUGUAUUGUUUCUAGUGUUCAUAUUUUUUUUAUGAUAUUUGGCACGUGUUUCUGACAAGUUUUUUGUGUGCAAACAUUACAUACCAUUCCAAAUAAACAUUCCAGUUUA
Dermacentor albipictus is the source of this 1167-nucleotide long non-coding RNA. RefSeq lists it as uncharacterized. The record is from RefSeq and is a predicted model, not a curated record. Lineage: Eukaryota; Metazoa; Arthropoda; Arachnida; Ixodida; Ixodidae.